Molecule: ribosomal RNA, 402 nt
Filed under: Bacteroidota bacterium
Lineage: Bacteria; Pseudomonadati; Bacteroidota
Description: Bacteroidetes bacterium partial 16S ribosomal RNA
Rfam family: Bacterial small subunit ribosomal RNA
Source: RNAcentral
UGGGGAAUUUUGCACAAUGGGGGAAACCCUGAUGCAGCGACGCCGCGUGAUUUAGAAGGCCUUCGGGUUGUAAAAAUCUUUUUUACGGGAUGAAAAUGACAGUACCGUAAGAAUAAGGUCCGGCUAAAUACGUGCCAGCAGCCGCGGUAAUACGUAUGGACCGAGCGUUGUCCGGAAUCAUUGGGCGUAAAGGGUACGUAGGCGGGUAAGCAAGUUAGAAGUGAAAUCCUGUAGCUCAACUACAGUAAGCUUUUAAAACUGCUCAUCUUGAGAUAUGGAAGGGAAAGUGGAAUUCCUAGUGUAGCGGUGAAAUGCGCAGAUAUUAGGAGGAAUACCGGUGGCGAAGGCGACUUUCUGGCCAUAAUCUGACGCUGAGGUACGAAAGCGUGGGUAGCAAACAGG